Lolium perenne is the source of this 1058-nucleotide long non-coding RNA. RefSeq lists it as uncharacterized. Lineage: Eukaryota; Viridiplantae; Streptophyta; Magnoliopsida; Poales; Poaceae. The record is from RefSeq and is a predicted model, not a curated record.
CUCUCUGUGGUCCUCCCCUCUCACGCCAUCCACGCCGCUCUCCUAACCUGCCCCCUCUCCCUUAUCUCUAGCCGCAGCCAAACCCUAGACGCUCCCCUCUCCCUUCCCUGCGCCGCCACUCUCUUUCCCCUUCUUCUUCACGUUUUCCCCACCAUCACCGAGCUUCACUGCCGCGGGUCCGCCAUGGCGCCGCCGCCUUGGGCGUCCCCUCGAUGAACCAACACCGCCACCAGACGCGCCUCGUCCUCCUCGUCUUCCUCCCCAAUCGAAUCGGGUCGUGGCUUCUCCAAUCAUCCCCAAUUUUGCCGUUCCCUCCUUCGAGUUGACGGCGUUUUUCUCCGAUUGUGCCGACCACCAUCCGUCUCCGGCCACGUCGAGCCCUCUGUCCUCUUCCUGAUCACCGCCGCUUCGCUGCUCCGACGACCUUUGACCGGCGGCGUCGCCACCUUCUGGUCCGCACCAGCGAGGCGAGUCCAGCGCGCCAAGUCUCGCAGCCUCGGGCGCCCUUCUUCGCCUGCGCGCGCCAUGCCAGUCCGCCGUGGUCACCACCCACUGCAGAACGCGAGCGGCAUCUGGCGUGCGCACAAGCUUCGCCACCGUGGCGGCCACGUCAGCGCCCUGGGCCCGCCCGUCAGCCGCUCGGGCUCGACCAGCUCGCGCUUUUUCUUCUUCACGGAUAGGAUCACGAAGUGGUGAUGUGAGGUACGACGAGUUCUCUGACAAGUUCUUCUGCAGCUUUUCACAGGCGAGCCCUCCCUCUUCACCUAUUUAUAUUUUGCUCUCCCCCGCACUGCUAUCCUUAUGUUGCGAUUCUCUAUCGAGUCACGUGUCUUAUUCCACUUGUUUACCAUAAUAAUCCUAUAUGUAUCAUUCCUUACCCAUAGUCGUUGGUUGAUGUUUGAGCCUUGCGAGUCGUAGGCGUGUUUAGGCUCUGUUGUUUAUCUCGAUCUGUUAUCGGGAUAUGUUGGGUUGUUGGGAGGUUAUCACAUGCUAUAUCAGUUGUUGAAGAUACACAUGCUUUACUUAUUUGUUAACAACUAAAAUUGUAAGCAGAGGCA